GACAGGGGGCUCGAGCGUUAAUCGGAAUCACUGGGCUUAAAGGGUGCGUAGGCGGGCCAGUAAGCGCUUUGUGAAAUCCCCCGGCUCAACCGGGGAACCGCGGGGCGAACUGCUGGUCUUGAGGAAGCUAGAGGCGGGUAGAACGAUAGGUGGAGCGGUGGAAUGCGUAGAUAUCUAUCGGAAUGCCGAAAGUGAAGACAGCCCGCUGGGGCUUUCCUGACGCUGAGGCACGAAAGCGUGGGGAGCAAACGGG
This 253-nucleotide ribosomal RNA is filed under the name uncultured bacterium. Its description in RNAcentral is "partial 16S ribosomal RNA". It matches the Rfam family "Bacterial small subunit ribosomal RNA", at positions 524 to 776 of the family's 1533-position model. The record is from RNAcentral.